Molecule: ribosomal RNA, 497 nt
Filed under: uncultured bacterium
Lineage: Bacteria
Description: partial 16S ribosomal RNA
Rfam family: Bacterial small subunit ribosomal RNA
Source: RNAcentral
GAUGAACGCUGGCGGCGUGCUUAAUACAUGCAAGUCGAGCGAACAGACGAGGAGCUUGCUCCUCUGACGUUAGCGGCGGACGGGUGAGUAACAUGUGGAUAACCUACCUAUAAGACUGGGAUAACUUCGGGAAACCGGAGCUAAUACCGGAUAAUAUAUUGAACCGCAUGGUUCAAUAGUGAAAGACGGUUUUGCUGUCACUUAUAGAUGGAUCCGCGCCGCAUUAGCUAGUUGGUAAGGUAACGGCUUACCAAGGCAACGAUGCGUAGCCGACCUGAGAGGGUGAUCGGCCACACUGGAACUGAGACGCGGUCCAGACUCCUACGGGAGGCAGCAGUAGGGAAUCUUCCGCAAUGGGCGAAAGCCUGACGGAGCAACGCCGCGUGAGUGAUGAAAGUCUUCGGAUCGUAAAACUCUGUUAUUAGGGAAGAACAAAUGUGUAAGUAACUAUGCACGUCUUGACGGUACCUAAUCAGAAAGCCACGGCUAACUACGUG